RNAcentral lists this ribosomal RNA (414 nucleotides) under uncultured bacterium. RNAcentral's name for it is "bacterial SSU rRNA". It matches the Rfam family "Bacterial small subunit ribosomal RNA", at positions 28 to 433 of the family's 1533-position model. The record is from RNAcentral.
GACGAACGCUGGCGGCGUGCUUAACACAUGCAAGUGGAGCGACGAACCGGGGCUUGCCCCGGGGCAGAGCCGCGAACGGGUGAGUAACACGUGGGUAACCUGCCUCAAUGAUUGGGACAACCCGGGGAAACUCGGGCUAAUACCAAAUGUGUUCACUCCUUUUAAGGGGAGUGAGGAAAGGAAGCUUCGGCCUCCGCAUUGAGAUGGGCCCGCGGCCCAUUAGCUUGUUGGUGAGGUAACGGCUCACCAAGGCUUCGAUGGUAGCUGGUCUGAGAGGACGAUCAGCCACACUGGGACUGAGACACGGCCCAGACUCCUACGGGAGGCAGCAGUGGGAAUCUUGCACAAUGCGCGAAAGCGUGAUGCAGCAACGCCCGCGUGGGGGAAGACGGGCCCUUCGGGUUGGUAAACCCC